This 374-nucleotide ribosomal RNA is filed under the name Hemidactylus palaichthus. RNAcentral's name for it is "partial 12S ribosomal RNA". Lineage: Eukaryota; Metazoa; Chordata; Lepidosauria; Squamata; Gekkonidae. The record is from RNAcentral.
GUAAACCAAGUCUUAAAACACAACCAACUGACCGCCAGAGAACUACAAGUAAAAAACUUAAAACUCAAAGGACUUGACGGUGUCCCACAUCACCCUAGAGGAGCCUGUCCUACAAUCGAUAACCCACGUUACACCUCACCUGUCCUAGCACAUACUAGUUCAGCCUAUAUACCGCCGCCUCCAGCCUACCUUGCAAAAGAAUUUAGAGUGGGCACAACAGCCAUCACUUAUACGCCAGGUCAAGGUGUAGCUAACGGACAGGCAGAGAUGGGCUACAUUUUCUAACACAAUAGAAAACACCAACCGCAACAUGAAAUAUACGCCAAAAGGCGGAUUUAGCAGUAAGCCGCGCAAGACUGCCCGCCUGAAGAAAG